Molecule: long non-coding RNA, 44046 nt
Filed under: Triticum aestivum (bread wheat)
Lineage: Eukaryota; Viridiplantae; Streptophyta; Magnoliopsida; Poales; Poaceae
Description: long non-coding RNA (TAES_LNC013696)
Rfam family: MIR1120/MIR1122 microRNA precursor family (bases 23027-23140)
Source: RNAcentral
ACAUAGAUUAAUUCUCCCAUGUCAGCCUUUUUGGAUUUUGAUCAAACAACUUGUAGACAUAGAAAAACAAAAUCUACACAGACAAAAUGAGAGGAUCUGUGAGUAGGGGACUGGAAGAGAAGGCACUACAAAAAAAGACACAUCCGUGACAUUUUGUGCCGAACGAAAAAAAAUUCUGUCAUACAUAUGACACUUCUAUGACAAUAAUUGUGAAAAAAACUCGGUAUCAUCAUAGAUGUGGUGGGCUCCUACUUCUAUGACAAAAAAUCAUGACAGCAAAUGGGCUUUUCGUCCUGGGCGGGCCGGAGACGGAGCUGGAUGACAUUCUUUGGGCUGUCCAUGACGGAAAAAACCAUGGUAGAAGCGAGGGCGAGGAAAAUUUCGGGGAGUUCCAGGUUACGGUGGGAGGUCGGGGGCCGAGUGAUGCGCGUUUCUCUCAUACACGUACGCACGUGUGUGCGAGGCGUUGGCUCUAACUGAACCCGAGCGAGGCGUUGGGCUCUAACUGAACCCGAGUGAUUGCACUACAGGCUACGCGUUACUGAACCCGAGCGAUCGAUCGAUGGCUGUUAACUGAACCUGAUNNNNNNNNNNNNNNNNNNNNNNNNNNNNNNNNNNNNNNNNNNNNNNNNNNNNNNNNNNNNNNNNNNNNNNNNNNNNNNNNNNNNNNNNNNNNNNNNNNNNNNNNNNNNNNNNNNNNNNNNNNNNNNNNNNNNNNNNNNNNNNNNNNNNNNNNNNNNNNAUGAACAGGACCCCGUGGUGUGGUGGAGGGCUGGAUGAACAGUAGACGGCGAAGGGGUGCCCGUGGAGGGGUGGUUGAACAUGAUCCCGUGGUGUGGAGGGCUGGAUGAAAAGUAGACAGUGGAGGGGUUCCCGGGGAGGGGUGGUUGAACAGUAGCCGGUGGAGUAGAGCGCGGUGGUGGCUGGAUGAACAGGAGCCCGUGGAGGCUGGAGGAGGUUGACGGUAGCCCGUGGAGGCUGGAGGAGGUCGACGGUGGAGAUGAACAGUAUCCCGUGGAGUCCCGUUUUGCGGUACGCCACACCCCUCCCGAUGAACAGGACCCCUGUUUCGACCGUAGGAGGUCCGUUUCGUCCGUUUUGCGGUACGCCACACCCCUCCCGAUCAACAGGACCCCCGUUUCGACCGUAGGAGGUCCAUUUCCUCCGUUUUGCGGUACGCCAGACCCCUCCCGAUCAACAGGACCCCGUUCUGAACGUAGGAGGUCCGUUUCCUCCGUUGUGCGGUACGCCAGGCCUCGUUUCCAUCGCCUGUUCCGUCCAAGCCUUCCCGAUGAACACGACCACGCAUUCCGUUGCGACCCAGCCGGUUGGCUCCCACGCGUUCCGUUGCCUCCCGAUGAACACGACGCAUUCCGUUGCCUCCCCAUGAACACGACGCAUUCCGUUGCCUCCCCAUGAACACGACGACGACGCUGUUUCUCCGUUCCGACCCAGCCAUGUACAUGAGCCCUGGCCAUACGUAUGCGCGAGUAGGCGUUCGAGACCCCGCCCGUAUGGACACAUAUGUGGCCGUAUUUUCUUUCUCGCACCCUGGCCGUUGUACGUACGUGUACAUGCUACGUGCGCGCCUCUACUACAACACGUACGCGCCUCUACUACGACACGUGCACGCCUCUACAUCCACCAGUAUAUAUGUACGUACACGUUCGCGACCAGAAUGACAACGCUACGUACGCUUCGACCAGGUGGGUCCCGACUGUCAGGCACUUCCUUGCCUGCGAAGAUGUAGCUGGUGGGUCCCAGCAGUCAGGGGGCGAAUCGUUUUUUUGCCCGGACGCACUUCCUUGCGUGCGAAGAUGUAGCUGGUGGGUCCCAGCAGUCAGGGGCAAACGUUUUUUUGGCGAAAUACGGUGGCCCGUCCGGUGGGUCCCCGCUGUCAGAUGGAGGAAUAAUUAUUUUGCACGUAAUAAGGAGGCACUUGCUGCGGUCGUGGACCCAGCUGUCAGCCUCUCCACGUACAGUCCAGGUCCGAUGGAAGCCGUUCCUUGACCACGUUGACCACGCCGCGCCGAGAGCACCAGGGCGGUGGACGAGGGCGAGGCCUAGGAAGGGGACGACGCGGAGCCGGGGAAGACGCAGCAGUGGAUGCCCACGCGUAGAGGAGUACGAGGGUUCACUGGUUCGCUGCGGUGUGAGGCUGUCGUUGCCGCAGAAUAACGGGGGGUGUGGGUGAGAAGAGAGAUGGCCUGGCCAGCGGUGCGAGUAGUAGGGGGGCACUGCCCUCCGCCGCAUCGCAGCCGGCCACGGGAGGCAGGAGCACGAGGCACGACCGACGCUGGUUUGGGCGGCUGGAGCAAGAAGACCAGAGGUUGAAGAAGUACUACGGCCGUUGGAUGGACAUCGUACGGUCACUGGAGCUAGAAUCGUGCAUAUUGACUAAGUUGACAAAGCCCUCCGUCCCCGUCAACUUAGUAGGCCCACAGGUCAGCCUGCCACAAUACUGGGUCCCAGCUAACAGGGGGAGUAUUCAUUUUUUUGUGCGUAAUAAGGAGGCACUUCCUUGCGUGCGAAGAUAUAGCUGGUGGGUCCGAGCUAUCAGCGGCGGUAACGUUUUUUUCGCGAAAUACAGAGGCCCUUUCGGUGGGUCCCUGAUGUCAGGUGGAGGAAUCAUUAUUUUGCGCGUAAUAAGGAGGCAUUUCCUUGCGUGCGGCCGUGGACCCAGCUGUCGGCCUCUCCACGUACACUUCAGUUGCAUGUCGGUCGUUGACCACGUUGACCAGGCCGCGCCGAGAGCACCAGGGCAGUGGACGACGGCGAGGCCUAGGAAGGGAACGAAACGGAGGCAGGGAAGACUCGGCAGUUGUUUCCCACGCGGAGGGGAGUACGACUGUACGAGGGUUUACUGGUUCGUCUGCCGUCGCCGGAGAAUAACAGCAGGUGUGGGUGAGUAGAGGGAUGGCUAGGCCAGUGAUGGGAGUACGGUGGGGCGGUGAGGCCUGCGCGGCAGCAGAGCCGUCCGUGGGGAGGAGGGAGCAGGCAGUCCCGCCGGCGCUUGUUUGAGCGGCUGGAGCAGGAAGAGCAGAGAUUGAAGAAGCACGACGGUCGUUGGAUGGCCAUCCAACAGUCACUGCUUGUGCGUCAACCUUUUUUUAGGAAAGCCUCAAAUCUGUGGAAAACAGCAUACAACCCAUCUGCCAUUAUUUCUAAUAAUUUACAGCCCAUUUGCUAAUUAUUAAGGUUUUUUUUGGAGCCCAUAUUCUUUUUAUUAGCAUUACAGCCCAUAUUGUGGCCACGGUUAAAAAAAUAUACGAAAUUUUGCAUAUUUCGGUGCGGUCCGAACUGUUUUUAAUCCCGAAAUCUCGACUCACAUUCAAACUAAUUUUAAAAAUAAAUGUAUAUCAAUAUAAAAUCCAACAAAAAAAGAUAUUUGAAACUAAUUGCCGGUUUGAUGUGUUUAAAAAAUGUACAGCCCAUUUCUCAUUACUGGUGGGCCAUUUUGUCGGCCAGCCGAAUGAAAGCUCUCCUCGUCUUGAAAGAUUUGCAGCCCAACAGGCCUGACAAAGCGACUUACUUGGCAAAUCACAAAAAACUGGGUUGUGGCCGUGGACCCAGCUGUCAGCCUCUUCACGUACAGUACUGUUCCGAUGGAAGUCGUUGCUUGACCAUGUUGACCACGCCGCGCGGAGAGCACCACGGCGGUGGACGAAGGCAAGGCCUGUUGGGGAACGUAGUAAUUUCAAAACAUUUCCUACGCACACGCAAGAUCAUGGUGAUGCAUAGCAACGAGAGGGGAGAGUGUUGUCCACGUACCCUCGUAGACCGACAGCGGAAGCGUUAUCACAACGCGGUUGAUGUAGUCGUACGUCUUCACGAUCCGACCGAUCAAGUACCGAACGUACGGCACCUCCGAGUUCUACGCACGUUCAGCUCGAUGACGUCCCUCGAACUCCGAUCCAGCCGAGUGUUGAGGGAGAGUUUCGUCAGCACGACGGCGUGGUGACGAUGAUGAUGUUCCACCGACGCAGAGCUUCGCCUAAGCUCCGCAACGGUAUUAUCGAGGUGUAAUAUGGUGGAGGGGGGCACCGCACACGGCUAAGAGAUCAAGGAUCAAUUGUUGUGUAUCUGGGGUGCCCCCUGCCCCCGUAUAUAAAGGAGCAAGGGGGAGGCAGCCGGCCAAGGGGAGAGGCGCGCCAUAGGGGGGAGUCCUACUCCCACCGGGAGCAGGACUCCUCCUUUCCUUGUGGGAGUAGGAGAAGGGAAGGGGGAAGGAGAAAGAAGGAAGGGUGCGCCCCCCUUCCCUAGUCCAAUUCGGACCAGACCAUGGGGAGGGGUGCGGCCACCUUUUGAGGCCUUUCUCUCCUUUCCCGUAUGGCCCAUUAAGGCCCAAUACGAAUUCCCGUAACUCUCCGGUACUUCGAAAAAUACCCGAAUCACUCGGAACCUUUCCGAAGUCCGAAUAUAGUCGUACAAUAUAUCGAUCUUUACGUCUCGACCAUUUUGAGACUCCUCGUCAUAUCCCCGAUCUCAUCCGGGACUCCGAACUCCUUCCGUACAUCAAAACUAAAUAAAACUGUCAUCGUAACGUUAAGCGUGCGGACCCUACGGGUUCGAGAACUAUGUAGACAUGACCGAGACACGUCUCCGGUCAAUAACCAAUAGCGGGACCUGGAUGCCCAUAUUGGCUCCCACAUAUUCUACGAAGAUCUUUAUCGGUCAGACCGCAUAACAACAUACGUUGUUCCCUUUGUCACCGGUAUGUUACUUGCCCGAGAUUUGAUCGUCGGUAUCUCGAUACCUAGUUCAAUCUCGUUACCGGCAAGUCUCUUUACUCGUUCCGUAAUACAUCAUCCCGCAACUAACUCAUUAGUCACAAUGUUUGCAAGGCUUACAGUGAUGUGCAUUACCGAGUGGGCCCAGAGAUACCUCUCCGACAAUCGGAGUGACAAAUCCUAAUCUCGAAAUACGCCAACCCAACAAGUACCUUUGGAGACACCUGUAGAGCACCUUUAUAAUCACCCAUUUACGUUGUGACGUUUGGUAGCACACAAAGUGUUCCUCCGGUAAACGGCAGUUGCAUAAUCUCAUAGUCAUAGGAACAUGUAUAAGUCAUGAAGAAAGCAAUAGCAACAUACUAAACGAUCGAGUGCUAAGCUAACGGAAUGGGUCAAGUCAAUCACGUCAUUCUCCUAAUGAGGUGAUCUCGUUAAUCAAAUGACAACUCAUGUCUAUGGUUAGGAAACAUAACCAUCUUUGAUUAACGAGCUAGUCAAGUAGAGGCAUACUAGUGACACUCUGUUUGUCUAUGUAUUCACACAUGUAUUAUGUUUCCGGUUAAUACAAUUCUAGCAUGAAUAAUAAACAUUUAUCAUGAUAUAAGGAAAUAAAUGAUACUUUAUUAUUGCCUCUAGGGCAUAUUUCCUUCAGUCUCCCACUUGCACUAGAGUCAAUAAUCUAGUUCACAUCGCCAUGUGAUUUAACAUCAAUAAUUUACAUCAUCAUGUGAUUAACACCCAUAGCUCACAUCUCUAUGUGGCCAACACUCAAAGGGUUUACUAGAGUCAAUAAUCUAGUUCACAUCGCUAUGUGAUUAACACCCAAAGAGUACUAAUGUGUGAUCAUGUUUUGAUUGUGAGAUAAUUUUAGUCAACGGGUCUGUCACAUUCAGAUCCGUAAGUAUUUUGCAAAUUUCUAUGUCUACAAUGCUCUGCACGGAGCUACUCUAGCUAAUUGCUCCCACUUUCAAUAUGUAUCUAGACCGAGACUUAGAGUCAUCUAGAUUUGUGUCAAAACUUGCAUCGACAUAACCCUUUACGACGAAACUUUUGUCACUUCCAUAAUCGAGAAACAUAUCCUUAUUCCACUAAGGAUAAUUUUGACCGUUGUCCAGUGAUCUACUCCUAGAUCACUAUUGUACUCCCUUGCCAAAAUCAGUGUAGGGUAUACAAUAGAUCUGGUACACAGCAUGGCAUAUUUUAUAGAACCUAUGGCCAAGGCAUAGGGAAUGACUUUCAUUCUCUUUCUAUCUUCUGCCAUGGUCGGGCUUUGAGUCUUACUCAAUUUCACACCUUGUAACACAGGCAAGAACUCUUUCUUUGACUGUUCUAUUUUGAACUACUUCAAAAUCUUGUUAAGGUAUGUACUCAUUGAAAAAACUUAUCAAGCGUCUUGAUCUAUCUCUAUAGAUCUUGAUGCUCAAUAUGUAAGCAGCUUCACCGAGGCCUUUCUUCGAAAAACUCCUUUCAAACACUCCUUUAUGCUUUGCAGAAUAAUUCUACAUUAUUUCCGAUCAACAAUAUGUCAUUCACAUAUACUUAUCAGAAAUGCUGUAGUGCUCCCACUCACUUUCUUGUAAAUACAGGCUUCACCGCAAGUGUAUAAAACUAUAUCCUUUGAUCAACUUAUCAAAGUGUAUAUUCCAACUCUGAGAUGCUUGCACCAGUCCAUAGAUGGAUCGCUGGAGCUUGCAUAUUUUGUUAGCACUUUUAGGAUUGACAAAACCUCCUGGUUGCAUCAUAUACAACUCUUCUUUAAUAAAUCCAAUAAGGAAUGUAGUUUUGUUUAUCCAUUUGCCAGAUUUCAUAAAAUGCGGCAAUUGCUAACAUUAUUCAGACAGACUUUAAGCAUAGAUACGAGUGAGAAACUCUCUCAUCAUAGUCAACACCUUGAACUUGUCGAAAACCUUUCGCAACAAGUCGAGCUUUAUAGACAGUAACAUUACCAUCAGCGUCAGUCUUCUUCUUGAAGAUCCAUUUGUUUUCAAUGGCUUGCCGAUCAUUGGGCAAGUCAACCAAAGUCCAUACUUUGUUCUCAUACAUGGAUCCCAUCUCAGAUUUCAUGGCCUCAAGCCAUUUUGCGGAAUCUGGGCUCACCAUCGCUUCUUCAUAGUUCGUAGGUUCGUCAUGGUCUAGUAACAUAACUUCCAGAACAGGAUUACCGUACCACUCUGGUGCGGAUCUUACUCUGGUUGACCUACGAGGUUCAGUAAUAACUUGAUCUGAAGUUUCAUGACCAUCAUCAUUAACUUCCUCACUAAUUGGUGUAGGAGUCACAGGAACAGAUUUUUGUGAUGAACUACUUUCCAAUAAGGGAGCAGGUACAAUUACCUCAUCAAGUUCUACUUUCCUCCCACUCACUUCUUUCGAGAGAAACUCCUUCUCUAGAAAGGAUCCAUACUAAGCAACAAAGGUCUUGCCUUCGGAUCUGUGAUAGAAGGUGUACCCAACUGUCUCCUUUGGGUAUCCUAUGAAGACACAUUUCUCCGAUUUGGGUUUGAGCUUAUCAGGAUGAAACUUUUUCACAUAAGCAUUGCAACCCUAAAUUUUAAGAAAUGACAACUUUGGUUUCUUGCUAAACCUCAGUUCAUAAGGUGUCGUCUCAACGGAUUUUGAUGGUGCCCUAUUUAACGUGAAUGCAGCUGUCUCUAAUGCAUAACCCCAAAACGAUAGUGGUAGAUCGGUAAGAUACAUCAUAUAUCGCACCAUAUCUAAUAAAGUACGAUUACGACGUUCGGGCACACCAUUACACCGUGGUGUUCCAGGUGGCGUGAGUAGUGAAAACUAUUUCACAUUGUUUUAACUGAAGGCCAAACUCGUAACUCAAAUACUCUUCUCUACGAUCAGAUCGUAGAAACUUUAUUUUUCUUGUUACGAUGAUUUUCCACUUCACUCUGAAAUUAUAUGAACUUUUCAAAUGUUUCAGACUUAUGUUUCAUUAAGUAGAUAUACCCAUAUCUGCUCAAAUCAUCUGUGAAGGUGAGAAAAUAACGAUAUCCGCCACGAGCCUCAAUAUUCAUUGGACCACAUGCAUCUGUAUGACUUCCAACAAAUCUGUUGCUCUCUCCAUAGUUCCGGAGAACGGCGUUUUAGUCAUCUUGCCCAUGAGGCACGGUUCGCAAGUAUCAAGUGAUUCAUAAUCAAGUGAUUCCAAAAUCCCAUCAGUAUGGAGUUUCUUCACGCGCUUUACACCAAUAUGACCUAAACGGCAGUGCCACAAAUAAGUUGCACUAUCAUUAUUAACUUUGCAUCUUUUGGCUUCAAUAUUAUGAAUAUGUGCAUCACUACGAUCAGGAUCCAACAAACCAAUUUCGUUGGUGUGUAUGACCAUAGAAGGUUUUUUAUUCAUGUAAACAGAACAACAAUUGUUCUCUAACUUAAAUGAAUAACCGUAUUGCAAUAAACAUGAUCAAAUCAUAUUCAUGCUCAACGCAAACACCAAAUAACACUUAUUUAGUUUCAACACUAGUCCCGAAAGUACAGGGAGUGUGCGAUGAUGAUCAUAUCAAUCUUGGAACUACUUCCAACACACAUCGUCACCUCGCCUUUUACUAGUCUCUGUUUAUUCUGCAACUCCCAAUUCGAGUUACUACUUUAGCAACUGAACUAGUAUCAAAUACCGAGGGGUUGCUAUAAACACUAGUAAAGUACACAUCAAUAACAUGUAUAUCCAAUAUACCUUUGUUCACUUUGCCAUCCUUCUUAUCCACCAAAUAGUUGGGGUAGUUCCGCUUCCAGUGACCAGUCCCUUUGCAGUAGAAGCACUUAGUCUCAGGCUUAGGACCAGACUUAGGCUUCUUCACUUGAGCAGCAACUUGCUUGCCGUUCUUCUUGAAGUUCCCCUUCUUCCCUUUGCCCUUUUCUUGAAACUAGUGGUCUCUUCAACUAUCAACACUUGAUGUUUUUCUUGAUUUGUACCUUCGUCGAUUUCAGCAUCACGAAGAGCUCGGGAAUUACUUUCGUCAUCCCUUGCAUACUAUAGUUCAUCACGAAGUUCUACUAACUUGGUGAUGGUGACUAGAGAAUUCUGUCAAUCACUAUUUUAUCUGGAAGAUUAACUCCCACUUGAUUCAAGUGAUUGUAGUACCCAGACAAUCUGAGCACAUGCUCACUAGUUGAGCGAUUCUCCUCCAUCUUUUAGCUAUAGAACUUGUUGGAGACUUCAUAUCUCUCAGCUCGGGUAUUUGCUUGAAAUAUUAACUUCAACUCCUGGAACAUCUUAUAUGGUCCAUGACGUGCAAAACGUCUUUGAAGUCCCGAUUCUAAGCCGUUAAGCAUGGUGCACUAAACUAUCAAGUAGUCAUCAUAUUGAGCUAGCCAAACGUUCAUAACGUCUGCAUCUGCUCCUGCAAUAGGUCUGUCACCUAGCGGUGCAUCAAGGACAUAAUUUUUCUGUGCAGCAAUGAGGAUAAUCCUCAGAUCACGGAUCCAAUCCGCAUCUUUGCUACUAACAUCUUUCAACAUAAUUUUUCUCUAGGAACAUAUAAAAAAUAAACACAGGGAAGCAACAACGCGAGCUAUUGAUCUACAACAUAAUUUGCAAAAUACUAUCAGGACUAAGUUCAUGAUAAAUUAAAGUUCAAUUAAUCAUAUUACGUAAGAACUCCCACUUAGAUAGACAUCCCUCUAAUCCUCUAAGUGAUCACGUGAUCCAUAUCAACUAAACCAUGUCCGAUCAUCACGUGAGAUGGAGUAGUUUCAAUGGUGAACAUCACUAUGUUGAUCAUAUCUACUAUAUGAUUCACGCUCGACCUUUCGGUCUCCGUGUUCCGAGGCCAUAUCUGUUAUAUGCUAGGCUCGUCAAGUUUAACUUGAGUAUUCCGCGUGUGCAACUGUUUUGCACCCGUUGUAUUUGAACGUAGAGCCUAUCACACCCGAUCAUCACGUGGUGUCUCAGCAUGAAGAACUUUCGCAAUGGUGCAUACUCAGGGAGAACACUUAUACUUUGAUAAUUUAGUGAAGGAUCAUCUUAUAAUGCUACCGUCAAACAAAGCAAGAUAAGAUGCAUAAAGGAUUAACAUCACAUGCAAUCAAUAUAAGUGAUAUGAUAUGGCCAUCAUCAUCUUGUGCUUGUGAUCUCCAUCUCCGAAGCACCGUGCUUGUGAUCUCCAUCUCCGAAGCACCGUCAUGAUCACCAUCGUCAUCGGCGCGACACCUUGAUCUCCAUCGUAGCAUCGUUGUCGUCUCGCCAACUUAUUGCUUUUACGACUAUCGCUACCGCUUAGUGAUAAAGUAAAACUAUUACAUGGCGAUUGCAUCUCAUACAAUAAAGCGACAACCAUAUGACUCCUGCCAGUUGCCGACAACUCGGUUACAAAACAUGAUCAUCUCAUACAACACAUUAUAUCACAUCAUGUCUUGACCAUAUCACAUCAUAACAUGCCUUGCAAAAAACAAGUUAGACGUCUUCUACUUUGUUGUUGCAUAUUUUACGUGGCUGCUACGGGCUUAGCAAGAACCGUUCUUACCUACGCAUCAAAACCACAACGAUAGUUUGUCAAGUUGGUGUUGUUUUAACCUUCGCAAGGACCGGGCGUAGCCACACUCGGUUCAACUAAAGUGAGAGAGACAGACACCCGCCGGUCACCUUUAAGCAACGAGUGCUCGCAACGGUGAAACCAGUCUCGCGUAAGCGUACGCGUAAUGUCGGUCCGGGCCGCUUCAUCUCACAAUACCGCUGAACCAAAGUAUGACAUGCUGGUAAGCAGUAUGACUUAUAUCGCCCACAACUCACUUGUGUUCUACUCGUGCAUAGCAUCAACGCAUAAAACCAGGCUCGGAUGCCACUGUUGGGGAACGUAGUAAUUUCAAAAAUUUCCUACGCACACGCAAGAUCAUGGUGAUGCAUAGCAAUGAGAGGGGAGAGUGUUGUCCGCGUACCCUCGUAGACCGACAGCGGAAGCGUUAUCACAACGCGGUUGAUGUAGUCGUACGUCUUCACGAUCCGACCGAUCAAGUACCGAACGUACGGAACCUCCGAGUUCUACACACGUUCAGCUCGAUGACGUCCCUCGAACUCCGAUCCAGCCGAGUGUUGAGGGAGAGUUUCGUCAGCACGACGGCGUGGUGACGAUGAUGAUGUUCCACCGACGCAGGGCUUCGCCUAAGCUCCGCAACGGUAUUAUCGAGGUGUAAUAUGGUGGAGGGGGGCACCGCACACGGUUAAGAGAUCUCAAGGAUCAAUUGUUGUGUAUCUGGGGUGCCCCCUGCCCCCGUAUAUAAAGGAGCAAGGGGGAGGCAGCCGGCCAAGGGGAGAGACGCGCCAUAGGGGGGAGUCCUACUCCCACCGGGAGUAGGACUCCUCCUUUCCUUGUGGGAGUAGGAGAAGGGAAGGGGGAAGGAGAAAGAAGGAAGGGUGCGCCCCCCUUCCCUAGUCCAAUUCGGACCAGACCAUGGGGAGGGGUGCGGCCACCUUUUGAGGCCUUUCUCUCCUUUCCCGUAUGGCCCAUUAAGGCCAAUACGAAUUCCCGUAACUCUUCGGUACUUCGAAAAAUACCCGAAUCACUCGGAACCUUUCCGAAGUCCGAAUAUAGUCGUCCAAUAUAUCGAUCUUUACGUCUCGACCAUUUCGAGACUCCUCGUCAUAUCCCCGAUCUCAUCCGGGACUCCGAACUCCUUCCGUACAUCAAAACUCAAUAAAGAUGUCAUCGUAACGUUAAGCGUGCGGACCCUACGGGUUCGAGAACUAUGUAGACAUGACCGAGACACGUCUCCGGUCAAUAACCAAUAGCGGGACCUGGAUGCCCAUAUUGGCUCCCACAUAUUCUACGAAGAUCUUUAUCGGUCAGACCGCAUAACAACAUACGUGGUUCCUUUGUCACCGGUAUGUUACUUGCCCGAGAUUUGAUCGUCGGUAUCUCGAUACCUAGUUCAAUCUCGUUACCGGCAAGUCUCUUUACUCGUUCCAUAAUACAUCAUCCCGCAACUAACUCAUUAGUCACAAUGCUUGCAAGGCUUAUAGUGAUGUGCAUUACCGAGUGGGCCCAGAGAUACCUCUCCGACAAUCGGAGUGACAAAUCCUAAUCUCGAAAUACGCCAACCCAACAAGUACCUUUGGAGACACCUGUAGAGCACCUUUAUAAUCACCCAUUUACGUUGUGACGUUUGGUAGCAUACAAAGUGUUCCUCCAGCAAACGGGAGUUGCAUAAUCUCAUAGUCAUAGGAACAUGUAUAAGUCAUGAAGAAAGCAAUAGCAACAUACUAAACGAUCGAGUGCUAAGCUAACGGAAUGGGUCAAGUCAAUCACGUCAUUCUCCUAAUGAGGUGAUCUCGUUAAUCAAAUGACAACUCAUGUCUAUGGUUAGGAAACAUAACCAUCUUUGAUUAACGAGCUAGUCAAGUAGAGGCAUACUAGUGACACUCUGUUUGUCUAUGUAUUCACACAUGUAUUAUGUUUCCGGUUAAUACAAUUCUAGCAUGAAUAAUAAACAUUUAUCAUGAUAUAAGGAAAUAAAUGAUACUUUAUUAUUGCCUCUAGGGCAUAUUUCCUUCAAGGCCUAGGAAGGGGACGACGCAGAGCCGGGGAACACGCGGCAGUGGAAGCCCGCGCGGAGAGGAGUACGAGGGUUCACUGGUUCGGCUGCGGUGUGAGGCUGCCGUCGCCGCAGGGCCUGGCCAGUGGUGGAAACAGUAGGGGGUGGUGAGGCCUUUGCGGCAGCACAGCCAGCCACGGGAGGCAGGAGCAUGCGGCACGACCGGCGCUGCUUUGGGUGGCUGGAGCAAGAAGAGCAGAGGUUGAAGAAGCACUACGGCCGUUGGAUGGACAUCGUACGGUCACUGGAUCUAGAAUCGUUCAUAUUGACUAAGUGAACAAAGCCCUUCGUCCCCAUCAACUUAGUAGGCCCACAAGUCAGCCUCCCACCAAGGUGGGUCCCAGCUAGCCGAGGGAGUAUUCAUUUUUUUGUGCGUAAUAAGGAGGCACUUCCGGUGGGUCCGAGCUGAUAGCGGGGGGAACAUUUUUUUUUUGCGAAAUAUGGUGGCCCGUCAGGUGGGUCCCAGCAGUCAGGGGGCAAACGUUUUUUCGCAAAAUACGGUGGCCCGUCCAGUGGGUCCCUGCUGUCAGUUGGAGGAAUCAUUAUUUUCCGCGUAAUAAGGAGGCACUUACUUGCUGCGGCCGUGGACCCAGCUGAGACUCUCCACGUACAGUAUACUUCCGAUGGAAGUCAUUCCUUGACCACGUUAACCUUGCCACGUUCCGUUGCAUGCAUGCGUCCAUGGGCGUGGUGCGUCCCCACUGUCGGCCUCUCACGUACAGUCAUCUUCCGAUGACUCUCGGUUGUUGACCAGGUUGACCACACCGUGCCGAGCGCACCCAGACUGGAACGACCCGGAGAUGGGGAAGACGGGGCAGUGGAGUCGCAGAUGGAGAGGAGUGGGAAACUUCACUGGUUCGGGUGCGCGGCAGCACAGCCGCGGUGCCGCCCACGGGAGACAGGAGCAAGAACAGAGGUUGAAGAAGGAGCACGGCUGUUGGAUUAACAUCCAACGGUCCAGCUGCUAGAAUCAUUUGUUGAUUAAGUUGACAAAGCCGUGCGUACACGUCCGCUUAGUAGGCCCACAAGUCAGUCACCAAAUCUGUCGGGUCCCAGCUGUCAACGGGAUGAAUAAUUUUUUUCGCAAAACAAGGAGGCACUUCCUUUCGUGCGAAGAUACAGCCGGUGGGUCCCAGCUGUCAGGUGGAGGAAACCUUUUUUUUCAGCUUAAUAAGGAGGAACUUUCCUUGCGUGCGACCAUGGACCUCGUGGGUCCCAGCCGUCAGGCUCUCCACGUACAGUCCUAUUCCGAUGACUCUCGUUUGUUGACCACGCCGCACCUGUGACACCCAAAAUUUCAUUUGGAUUUUUCAAAAAAUUUAUUUGACUUGAGGGAGGUGAUUUAAAUUUUUCCUUCAAAAGAACCCUCCCUUUCAAAAUAUUUUUUUAGGGCAAGAGUUUUAUUGGGAUUCCCCCAAGACUUGUUUUUGGUCUUGGAGGUUCUUGCUUUUUAUUUGGACUCAAACCAAAAUGCUUUUCACUUGGGAAAAAUGUCUUUUGAAAAUUUCUUUGAAAAUGCCCUAUAGCUUUUGGAAUGAUCUUUUUCCACUUUCAACAAAUCUCCCUUGCCAUGACCUUAGUGCAAAACCACUCUCAUAACCCUUUCCUCAUCUUUGGAUCAUGUUUUACUUCAAAUCCAGCAAGUUGAACCUCUCCAUAUAAAUUUUCCCAUUUAUUUCUUAUCAAUAACAAUUUCUGCCAUAUAUCUUGAUCCUUGGAGGUUUACAAAGGAACUACUCCUUCUGCUUUGAUUUUUGCCCCCAAACCUUUUUCCCUUCCUAGUCCUUUGAACCCUCAACCAAGAUCCAUGAAGAUCCACUGGUCUCCAGUUCAAAUUUUUCAAACUAUACUUGCUGCAAGUUUGGACCAGAUUUGCCAAAUUUGAUGAAAUUCAUUCAAAUCCUUCUCCAAGAGUAAAAUCAGGCAGCCUCAGGGUGCAUUGAGUGGUCACCUCACCAAGCCCCAGCUCCAGGAAAAUUUUUCUUCAUACCUAAUCAUUUCAUCGAACACCUUCAGAGCACUGUCAAUAUCAGGUUCAGUCAAAUUCAGUUAACAGUGUCUGAACCACUGUCGUUUCUUCAGUGUCUGUUGUCGAUCACACCAGUGCCCCGGCGUCGCCGUGUUUGCUGUCUCCUCCCCCUUGUCCUCUGCACCGCACGAGCACCUGGAAGCUUGCGGACGUCGGCGACGAGCAGCAGAAGGUGCGCCCCCCGUGACCGACGCCAGCGGCGGCUUGACGGCCGUCAGAAGAGUGGCGCAGCGCAGACGGCGCCGUCCGGCGCCGCCCAAGCCACCGGAGGUCGCCGCGUGGUCUUCCACUCCCCAGUGCGCGCUGCCACCCUCGUCGUGAACCGCUAGGCGCGGAGCGUGCUCUCUGCCGCCGUCGUGCCAGUACGGCGACCUCGACGAGGACCGGCGCCAUUACGCCAUGCCUGACCGAGUUUAGCAGGGGAACGGGACCAGUAACUCCCACUGAUGCUGCCUGGCCACCUAAAACCCCUGCCAAUCCACUGCCUCGCCAUAAUUGCUCGCCGGAGAUUCUCCGUUCACGGCCACCCCCUCGAGCCGCCUAUAAAUAGAGGCCCCGAGCUCCAGCUAGUACCCACACCACCUCUACACUCCACCAAGACCCCGCCUAGCCACUGGAAGAGCCCCGAGGAAGUCUCCUUCCUCAACUCCGGCCGCCGCGACCCGCCACGGGAUCCAGCUCGAUUCGCUCCCGUGCGUGCACCUCUGCCUCCCAUCUCUUGCCAGUAGCUCUCUAGUGCAUCCCUCCUUCUGACCCGCACUUCAAUUUGAAGUUUGCAGCACACCACCGGAGUUCCCCACCAUCGCCCGAGCCGCCGUCCGCCGGAGAAAGUGUCGCCGUCGACGUGGUGCUCCCCGACGCCCAAGUCCACCACCCACCAACGCGGAAGGACACGCUGAUACUCUUGGUACACUCCGAUCUCCCUGACUCGCCGUGGUUCGACGCCGGCGACCACCGCAGCCUUCGGGCGCCGGCGAGGUUUUUCAAACCUGACAUGUGGACCCCCCACGUCAGCCUCUCUUCUUUCGAGGAUCAGCUAAAAUCUCGAGGACGAGAUUUUUCCUAAGGCGGUAGGUGUUGUGACACCCAAAAUUUCAUUUGGAUUUUUCAAAAAAUUUAUUUGACUUGAGGGAGGUGAUUUAAAAUUUUCAUUCAAAAGAACCCUCCCUUUCAAAAUAUUUUUUUUAGGGCAAGAGUUUUAUUUGGAUUCCCCCAAGACUUGUUUUUGGUCUUGGAGGUUCUUGCUUUUUCUUUGGACUGAAACAAAAAUGCUUUUCACUUGGGAAAAAUGUCUUUUGAAAAUUUCUUUGAAAAUGCCCUAUAGCUUUUGGAAUGAUCUUUUUCCACUUUCAACAAAUCUCCCUUGCCAUGACCUUAGUGCAAAACCACUCUCAUAAACCUUUCCUCAUCUUUGGAUCAUGUUUUACUUCAAAUCCAGCAAGUUGAACCUCUCCAUAUAAAUUUUCCCAUUUAUUUCUUAUCAAUAACAAUUUCUGCCAUAUAUCUUGAUCCUUGGAGGUUUACAAAGGAACUACUCCUUCUGCUUUGAUUUUUGCCCCCAAACCUUUUUCCCUUCCUAGUCCUUUGAACCCUCAACCAAGAUCCAUGAAGAUACACUGGUCUCCAGUUCAAAUUUUUCAAACUAUACUUGCUGCAAGUUUGGACCAUAUUUGCCAAAUUUGAUGAAAUUCAUUCAAAUCCUUCUCCAAAAAUUCUGAGUAAAAUCAGGCAGCCUCAGGGUGCAUUGAGUGGUCACCUCACCAAGUCCCAGCUCCAGGAAAAUUUUUCUUCAUACCUAAUCAUUUCAUCGAACACGUUUAGAGCACUGUCAAUAUCAGGUUCAGUCAAAUUCAGUUAACAGUGUCUGAACCACUGUCGUUUCUUCAGUGUAUGUUGUCGAUCACACCAGUGCCCCGGCGUCGCCGUGUUUGCUGUCUCCUCCCCCUUGUCCUCUGCACCGCACGAGCACCUGGAAGCUUGCGGACGUCGGUGACGAGAAGCAGAAGGUGCGCCGCCCCGUGACCGACGCCAGCGGCGGCUUUGCGGCCGUCAGAAGAGUGGCGCAGCGCAGACGGCGCCGUCCGGCGCCGCCCAAGCCACCGGAGGUCGCCGCGUGGUCUUCCACUCCCCAGUGCGCGCUGCCACCCUCGUCAUGAACCGCUAGGCAUGGGGCGCGCUCUCUGCCGCCGUCGUGCCAGUACGGCGACCCCGACGAGGACCGGCGCCAUUACGCCAUGCCCGACCGAGUUUAGCAGGGGAAUGGGACCAGUAACUCCCACUGAUGCUGCCUGGCCACCUAAAACCCCUGCCAAUCCACUGCCUCGCCGUAAUUGCUCGCCGGAGAUUCUCCGUUCACGGCCACCCCCUCGAGCCGCCUAUAAAUAGAGGCCCCGAGCUCCAGCUAGUACCCACACCACCUCUACACUCCACCAAGACCCCGCCUAGCCACUGGAAGAGCCCCGAGGAAGUCUCCUUCCUCAACUCCGGCCGCCGCGACCCGCCACGGGAUCCAGCUCGAUUCGCUCCCGUGCGUGCACCUCUGCCUCCCAUCUCUUGCCAGUAGCUCUCUAGUGCAUCCCUCCUUCUGACCCACACUUCAAUUCGAAGUUUGCAGCACACCACCGGAGUUCCCCACCAUCGCCCGAGCCGCCGUCCGCCGGAGAAAGUGUCGCCGUUGACGUGGUGCUCCCCGACGCCCAAGUCCACCACCCACCGACGCGGAAGGACACGCUGAUACUCUUUGUACACUCCGAUCUCCCUGACUCGCCGUGGUUCGACGCCGGCGACCACCGCAGCCUUCGGGCGCCGGCGAGGUUUUUCAAACCUGACAUGUGGACCCCCCACGUCAGCCUCUCUUCUUUCACCCCCGAAGCGUUUUUCUGUUGGCGCCUUCGGGCAGAGUACAUUUUCUCUGCGGGCUGGCGCGUUUCUAUUCGAACCGUUUUCUGUUUUCUCAGUUAAACCCCUGGAACUUUUCUGUUUCAUUACAGAUGAGUCCCUGGACAGAAACCCUUAUAACUUUUUAAUAAAAAGUGAUUUUUGAGUGAUUCUUUUUCUGACAGUCUUAUAAUUUUUUCUAGUUUUUUAUGGGAUUUAUUUGAAAAAAAUUGAACAACUUUUAUGCACGCGUUGGUUUUCACGUUAGUAUGCAUUUUUCGCUAUACUGUAGGUUCCGGGAGAGGUGACGGAGCCACGAACUUUGCCGAGCUAGACUCUGACUUCUCCGAACUAGGCAAGCAUGUUUGAACCUUUGAUAUGAUAGGUGUUUUACAUGAUUGCGUGAAAGGUUGUGCAAGGCAUAUGAGUAUCGGUGAGUAUCUAGUUGCAUGUGAGGCAACUACCCGUGUGUUCCUAAGUUACUGUGAUUUCUGAUGAGAGAUGGCCUAGUCAUGUGGUGACAUGAAGGGCAGUAAGGUGGUACUGUUGUAGCAUGCCAGCCUUACGUCAUCCGAUAAAUUCUGACGUUAACGUGGACGGAGUCACGUUAUCGUUCUUCCCCCUUCCGUGCUACCACUUGUUUUCUGCCAGAAUGCGGUUUAGUAAGUUGGUAACCUCUUUCCGUGUACACACCAAACAAAGGGGCCGGGAUGAUGGUUCCAUGGCCCUGGAUUAAAGCCAGUCAUCCGGUCAGGGGGCAUGGGUGUUUCCGGUUGGGACCGAGAGGGGGGCACCCCUUAGAGCGCGCGUUCAGAAAUUUGAUCCCAUGCUACGCGAGGUUGUAGCCUCCCGGUCUCAAGGUUUUUCUUGAACGUUGCCGAGGGUGAUUCCUGGCUUCGGAAUGUUGAAUGGGUGUGUACUGGUUAGACGUGUCUCUUCCAAACUCUGCAGAGUCAAAUCCUUCCGAGUCAUCGUAUCCAUGGUCAAGUAUCGUGAUCAGUGUAUCCAUGUCUAUGUCAAGCCCUCGUGGUUUAUUCUUCUUUCCGGUAAGCGAGCAUGAGUAGUAAACUGGGCUGAACGUACUCCUGUGGAUGGACUAACCCUGUUGUUUAUCUCAUGCCUGAUUAUUCUCUAGAUAUGAUUUAAAUUCUUGAGCUACUAAGAUGUUAAGUUAUGAAGCCCUUUAUGUGAUGUCGCUCAGACGUCCGACUGUGGCAUGUUGGUUAUUUACUUUCGUUAUAAGCCCUUUAUGUGAUGUCGCUCAGACGUCCGACUGUGGCAUGUUGGUUAUUUACUUUCGUUAUAAGCCCUUUAUGUGAUGUCGCUCAGACGUCCGAUUGUGGCACUUAUGUUAUUUACUUUUGAUAUAAGCCCUUUCUACGAUGUCGCUCAGACGUCCGACUGUGGCACGCACUAUCUUUUAUUUUCAAUUAUAAGCCCUUUAUGUGGUGUUGCCCUGACGCCCGACUGCGGCAUUGUUAUUCUUGAAUUUUCCUCUCGAGGAGUCAUUCAGACCCUCGUUUGGCACCCAGUAUUUAUUUUGGGAUUUCGGGAGGACUACCGCCCGACUUCUCUUUUAUUUUCCCUCGCAUUAUUGUCUCGAUGUAUGAAUGCACUUAUUAACCUGUUCUUAUGCUCCAUGCUUACAUUUGUUAUAUCUUAUGUCCGAACUGUCUUGCGAGUACUUUCAUAGUACUCACCUGGCUUGUUGAUUUGGCCAGAUGUUGACGAAGGCGAUCUCUUGGAUGAAGAGUUUGAUAGUGCGUCCGACGCCUAGAGGAGUCCCAGUCAGUCCCGUGCGAUCCUGGAUAUUGGUCACUUGUAUUAUAUACGCUUCCGCCACCCGCAAUAAGUCUCCUCGAGCCUCACUCCGACGCUCGAAGAGCUGUAGUUUUCAGGAGUCAUAUCACCCACUUCGCGGUGAUAUUUCCACCACCGUUGUUAUCGUGAGUUAGUAGUUAUGCCACCCUAUCCGCCGUUAUGUUUUAUCGGCGUACAUGUAAUAAAUUGUUGAGCAGUCUCCGCUCAACCUUGUAUUAUAUUCAGUACUCCUGGUAUUUUUCUUCUGUGACCAAGAUAUUGUCUACCAGUGAGAAGGAAUUCUUCUUUACUGGUCCGUAAAAGGGAUUGGUCUCUCAAUAAAUAUUUUAUUGAAAAACCGGUCGUGACAAGCUUGGUACCAGAGCCAGGCUGACUGUAGGAAGCCACUAGGUGCGAUCGCUAAUCGGUUAUUAGCGUCUUUUGUGCUUUUUCAGCAUUUUGCGAUUGUAGCUAUUUUCUGUUGGUCAUCAUAAAUUUAUGACUUGACUACUCAGAAUUUUUGCCUACUUUUGUAGAUAGCUGGCAGCAACUGCGAGACUCGAGUGUUCACGAACGUGCCCGAGGGGUUUGUCAAACUCCUCGUCUCCAUCACCAAGCUCGCGAUCGGGCCAGCGACUCGUCCGGAGUUCACACUUUACCAGCACAAGCUCAGCGACGACGUGUCUAUGCACCAAGCCGUGGUGCAAUUCAAGGGAGGACGUUCUGCAUCUCGCCACUUCCGUUUUGUGGGAAGGGCCAUGCCUACGGAGAGGCAUGCCAUGCAGAUGGCUGCCCGGGAGGCGAUAGCUCGCCUUCGGGACAUCGUUCCUAUGAUGAAGACUCGUCGCUACCGCUACCUCCCAUGCCAUGUGCCAUAUACUUGUCACUGUGCAUUCGCCUGCCAUCGGGGAGAGCGAGAUGAAGCCAUCGAGAUGGUCGUGGAAUACCUCAAGGCUCUGGAGGAAUCCUUCGACAACCUCGUGGAUGAUCUUGUGGCUGCCCGCAUGGACUUAGUCCGGGGCGGUCCUGCCUGCAGGAAGGAGCUUCUCCACACGGCACCGCCUCUGACUUUCGUCUCGUCUUCAACCUCUUAUGCACCGGCCAUUUUGGCCACUGCUCGCCGUCUGCCUACCACUGAGGAGUUCGACCGAGUCAUCGCUCCUACUCCAGUCAGAGCUGCACCGCCUGCCACACCCGCACUACCGCCUGUCGCUCCCGCGCCAUCACCGCAGCACAGUGUUACGCGCCAGGAGCCAGAUAGAGAGGAGGUGGAGGUUGAAUCUCCUGCACCGCUGAGUCUUGCCCUCGGCAAGGGAAAGGACAUCGUCACCAUCUCCGACUGAGAGCGCCGAGUAGCCGCGCGUUAUGUCUGCUUGUAUGAUGUGUUUUAUCUGUACGCUAGUUUGUAUUAGUGUGUUCGCUGCAUUCCAGAGGAAUAUGCUAGUCUAAAUAACAUGUCAAGAUUGUGUACGCACAUCCUGAGUGCUGUAUCGUGUGUUUGCUUUUCGCGUGUAAGAUUGGUGUUAAGCAGUCCUUCUCCGUGCGAAAUCGUCUAUGUUUUCUUGAAAAAUCUUGAGGUCUUUUAAAUUUUGCCUUUACAAGAUUUUCCUUGUGCCACACAGUUCUUCUCAUGAGUUUUGCAAAAUAAUACCCCAGACUGGAAAAAUGUCUCGUCCGUGGACUCGUUCCAUGCCCAAUCAGCCAGAAGAAGUUUAUGGGACACAGACUAGCAACAACUUCACUCAGGGACAGUCCAGUCAGCAGGACAGCGAAGCAGCCUUGUCUCAAGUAUGCCGUCUCUUCGAACAAAGCCAGCAACAGCACCAAGAGAUGAUGAAUCACGUCAUCAAUAUGGGAAACCACCGUGAACCCUAUCAACCAGAUUCCAAGUUGUCUGAAUUACAGAAGACUCGCCCUUCAACGUUUGCUCACACCGAUAGGCCGCUGGAAGCCAAUGAUUGGCUUCGUGACAUCGAGAGAAAGCUGAUUAUCGCUCAGUGCUCAGACCAUGAGAAGGUGCUUUAUGCACCACACUACCUUACUGGAGCAGCUGCAGCAUGGUGGGAAAACUUCCUACACAUGCAUCCCAGUGAACACAACAUCACCUGGGAAGAAUUCAAGGAAGGCUUUCGUGGGGCACACAUCCCCAGGAGCAUCAUAAAAAUCAAGAAGAGAGAAUUUGACGACCUCAAGCAAAGAGGCAUGUCAGUGAUAGAAUACAACAGCCAGUUUACCCAGCUAUCUCGUUAUGCCUACGACGAGCACAUGACAGAGAACAAGAAGAUGGAAAAAUUCCUGGACGGCCUGGCACCGGCACUAAAAUGCCAACUGGUUGUACACACUUUCCCGGAUUUUAAAACUCUGGUUGACAAGGCCAUUACCUUGGAGAAUGAGCGCCGUAGUCUGGAAGAUAUCCGUAAGCGAAAGAGGGACAAGACGACUCUUGCUCGCAACAACCGAAGCAGGACUGAGGUUCCAAGGACAGAAGCAAGGAAAUCCACGACUACUGAGCUAAGGCCAGUCAGACAGUUUCAUGCCAGGGACAAGGAGUUCACGUACCGUCCAGGGGUCACAUGCUAUGCCUGUGGUGAAGAAGGGCACUAUGCUAAACAGUGCCCAAAGCCGAGGAACUCGGCCCCCAAGCCGAACAAUGGUGGGAAUAAUCCAGCCCCCAAGCGCAACAAUUUCAAUCCCAACAACAACCACAGGAAGGGUCACCUAAACCAUGUGACCAGGGAAGAAGCACAGAAUGCCCCAGACAUCGUGCUCGGUACGUUCCCUGUCAACACAGUACCUUCCACGGUUUUGUUUGAUUCUAGAGCUUCCCAUUCGUUCGUUUCGAAGAAUUUUGUUUUGCAACAUGGUUUUCCGAUACUUCCCUUGGAAAAAUCUAUGAUCAUCAAGUCCCCGGAAAUAAGCAGAUCGCUCAGAGUUACUGCCAGGGAGUGAUCAUUGAGUUCAAAGGACUAAAAUUCCAAGCAAAUCUCAUCGUGUUGGAAAAUAAGGGACUGGAUGUCAUUUUAGGGAUGGACUGGUUGACCAUCAACAAAGGAUUCAUUGACUGUGUCAAUCGGACCGUGAUACUCAUUCACCAUCACGGCAAGACAAUAAAGGUUACAGCUCAGGAAAGGCCACGGUCACGGCAACCAAAGCUGAACAAAGUGGACAUGUCAAAGCUGAACAAAGACAAUAAAGGUUUCAAUCGGUUCACAGGUUUGGUGUAGGAUUUUCGUAGGAACACAAUUCCUACGGUAUUCUUUCCCUUCCAACCGUUCGGAACACGGGAAAGGUGAAUAGUGUUUCAUAGGAAAGCUGGUCUGGUAGUACUGAUUCCAUAGGAUUAGAAACAUCCACGCGCUGCUCAUUUUUUGGGCGGAAGCCCGAGGCAGGCGCUCGCUGCCAUGCGUUAUACAGGUUGUUGUGCUGUGUUGCCGGAAUAAAAAAACAACCUAUGUGUGUUACGUGAGGUGAGGACAAGAGUAGUCACUGUGUAGCUGAAUAAACAAAUAGCAUCUCAUACUGCCAAGCAUGCUACUCUAAAAAAACAAAUCUGUACAUUUCGUUGUCCAUCCGAACACAUUCUCUUGAGAGUUUCCUCCGGUUCGCUGUUCCAUAGUUUUAUACCUACAUUCCUUUCCUAUUCCUCUAUUUUCAUCAAGACCUAUGUUUUAUGCCCCUUUAUUCCGAACGGAGCCUAAAUAUUUGGUAUAAGGGCAUGGGACAGUGGGUGCACCAGCAGUCCAGCACCAUGUACAUAAACAGGGGCAUAAAGUGGUGAUUCAUAGUUUGUUGCCCCGAGAAACAAACAUCCAAGAAACAUAUCUGGGUUGGUCCCAUAUUUGUUCACUCUAGCCACCUACUCCUAUAUGUGUGGAUAGCAAAUCUAGUCCUGGUCAUACCACUGUGUACAACGUUACCCCUAUAUUUCCCUUUUCGACCAAGAGACCGGUUGGAUGACCAGACUGUACUACUUUCACCCCCUUUCCUUCUUGUUUGUACCAAGUCCGAUGUACAUACUAAAUUCCCCCACCCCCACUUUAUUUCUUGUUUGAACCAACUACUCCGUCCGUCCGGAAUUACUUAUCAUCAAAAUGGAUGUGUCUAGAACUAAAAUACAUCUAGAUACAUCCAUUUCACGACAAGUAUUUUCGGACGGAGGGAGUACAAGAUUCGACUCCAUGAAGUAGCUUUACCUCUAACAAUAGAAGAAAAAAAUGUGACAUUGGACCAUCCGAUUGAGAGGGGAUGAGAGGUAGAAAAUGAUGCACAUGCAGCGACGUAGCGAGCUGGGGAAGUAGAGCUAAGGUGGUUUCGAACGAAGAUAUACCUGAAGGUCGUCGGGAUGUGGAUAGGUGGGCGGUGGGAGGCCGGAUCCGCCCACAGGCAACGACGAAGGGAUCGGAGGACCUCCCGCGCCGGCGCUCGGCUAGAGAUAACGGUGCGGCCGGCAGUGGGUCUCCUCCCUCGCUGUCGACGACGGCCUAAACGCUGCCCCUCCUCCCCUUCACCGGCGGAGGGGGAUACGUCCGGAUCUGUAACCAGCGGUGAGGAUAGAAAGCCAGUGUUUUUUGAAGGGAGAAAGACAGUGUUACUACCCCUGUCUUGUUUAGAUCUGGAGAGGAUGAGAGUGUGUGAAUAGAGCAACCCUAGCAAGCAAGCGCGGAGGCUCCGGCCUAUAUAUACGUAGUGGGGUAGUUUUCCUUUUUCACUCCAUCAAAACAAUCGUUUAAAAUUGUGUACUACUACAUGCCAGGUCGCGGUUUUUUUAGUUGUUGAAUUUUUUUUUGAGAUAGCUACCAGCUUGUUCCAAGUGGUGUUACGGUGUGCCAGGUCGCACUUUGUAUCGUUCAAGUCGGGUACUACAAGUCCCUCCAUUAAAUGAACAACCACCCCCUCGUAAAAAAUUGUGAACAAGCCCACGGCUAAAAUUAGCGAAAACGUGGGUUGCCCCAACAUGCAUUAUUAUUUAUAUUUUCUACUCCCUCCGUUCCUAAAUAUAAGUCUUUUUUAUAAGCCACACCUAAGACAAGAAUUUUUUUAUUAGCAGUGAACCCCACAUGUCAUAGACACAAAAAUUGUGGCAAGAUUCCCUUAGGCAAGCCAAAGUGUGUCUAACAAUUUGAGCAACUUAGGUUAGGCAAGUGUGCCAAGUGUGGGAAAAAUAAUGUGGCAACAUAAGACAAACAUAGUCACAAUCCAAACAGCCCCGUAAUUUUUUGUGACAUGCAUGAAAAUUUGGUUAGUUAAAUUUAUAGUCAAAAUUUGGCAAGGUGCAUCAAAUCAACACAUGCAAGUAUCAAAAGGAAAGUCACGGCAUGCAUGCAUGCAUUGUACUCCCUCCGUUUACAAAUAUAAGUCUUUUUAGAGAUUGCAACAAGUGACUACAUACGAAGCAGAAUAUGUCCACUCCUACAUACGAAGUAGCCCAUUUGAAAUGUGUAAAAAGACUUAUAUCGAGUGCAGUGCUUUGAUGUGUCGCGUCAACUCGUACAAGACCGAGAAAUUUGAUUACUACAACGCCCUCUCCCUCGUGGACUGAGCUCCGGUGCCAUAACUGCACCCGCCUUUGGCUGCAUGACAGGAGGGCCAACCACCUGUUGGGCCCACCUGUCAUAGACGCAAAGGCAGGAGCAGUAAGUAGAAGCUUUCGCUACACGCUAUCCCUCCCGCAUGAGGUGGACGGACAUGCAUCAGUGGAUUCGACCUGUUGGGCCCACCUGUCAUAGACGCAAAGGCAGGAGCAGUAAGUAGAAGCUUUCGCUACACGCUAUCCCUCCCGCACGAGGUGGACGGACAUGCAGCAGUGGAUUCGAUACUGUAGAAGUAGGAGUAACAUCAUUGUUCGUCUUCUCGAAGAGGCGAAGAGCCAAGCGCAACCCGAACGUGGCAGUUGCGAACGCUCGCGUGGUGCGGUUCCUUGGAGUACUAGCCAGGCUCUUGCAUGAGACAAAAUUUCUAUUGUUUAACAAUUAAACUCCAUUAUCCAUUGGUUGAUACUCAUUCUGCAUAGGUCCACGCGCUUAGCACCGUUUCCUCCUGGGGUCACCAAUGUUUAUUUGCUAAUUAAUAGCAUUGCAUGCAAUGAACUAGCCAUUGCAAGUCAUUAAAAGCAUGCACACCUCUCAUCUCUUAUUGGUUGAUAUGUCAAGAAACAAGAAACAAGGUAGAAGUUAAUGCACCGUGCCUAAGUGUUUUGGGACUAUUUGGUUUUCGUAAGAUGACUUACACACCUAGACGGAGGGAGUAGUAUAGCCCUGUAAACCGGAAAGGAGUAUUUGCCUUUCUAGAGAUUUCAACAAGUCACUAGACUACACCGUGUGCAGUACUCCCUCCCUUCCGGUUUAUAGGGCUCAAAUCUCAAAUCUCAUGAACCAAGGCAUUUUGCGAUUGGAGGAAUGUAUCUCGUACUUUACAAAACUACCCUAAUUAAACUCAUGCAUUAAUUACGUAGUUAUCUCGUUUUCCUCUCCGCCUUGGUCGCGGUGCACAAUAUUGAGCACUCCUAUAUGACUAGUCGCUCUAUCUACAUGCGGGACAUUUCAAAGCAUCCGGGCCCGCGUGCCAUACACCAAAUCACAACGAGGUGCUACAGUCGAGAUUCACCUGUCACCCCGGUGUGGCCGUCAAGACCCGUCAUAUCACAAAACCCACACCUUUACCAGCAGUGGUAAGGUGGCCUCCAAGUUGGACUGGACGAAGCAACCAUCAUUUCACUGGAACGCUCGUUCAAGCCCUUUCUUCCCUUUCUUGAAGAUCCCCCGGUGAGCUGCACAAGGUAAAAAAUAAUGGCUUAUUACCAUAGUUGUGGUUUCUGAUUAUUUGCAAUGUGCUUGCUAAUAUGUUAGGGUUGUGCAGGUGCCGGUGGACGUCCUUGAUGAUUCCGAUGUCGUGGCCCGUCCUAUUGGCAUCGCCCCGGAGAUUGAUUCCGAUGCCGCUGUCCAUCUUGUGGACAUCGCCCCAGAGAUCGAUUCCGAUGUCGCGGUUAGUCCUGUGGACAUCGCCCCAGAAAUCGAUUCCCAUGCCGCUGUCCGUGCUGUGGUCAUUGCCCGAGAGAUCGAUGACAAGAAAUAGUUGGUCGCGCUAAUCCUUCAGGGUAGUUUGCAUUGCCCUGUGUUUAAUUACAAGAACGAUGCGUGUUAUCAAACCAUCUUAGGGCUAGUGCACUGUCUUGUGUGGGCGGAUCUUGCUACUUUUGUUUGAUAGUGAAUCAUGCGACGAAUCAUGCGAACCCUCUCCGAGUUAUGGAAACAGAUGUAUCCUCACCAGCUUUUGAUGUAAUAUAUGGCAUGCUUAGAUGUAAGUUUGAACUGUUUAUCAUAUCGGCAGGGCUUGUUUGAUGAUUCUUGGUGUUAGUAGGCUAGCUACUGUGCGAGCUAUAGUACUUGCAAAACACUCACCGAGGAGAAACGUUGGGGCUUAUGAGCUCGUGGUACGCUUAUACUUAUCCCUCAUCGAUUGACCAAUAGCCCUAGCUCCUAAAAUUGUAGGCUUAGCGAUCGAUCAGACAAUAGUCGACAUACAUUCAGGUCUCAUUUGGUUCAUAGGGUAGGAAAAUCAUAGCAAAAGUACAGAGCACGUGCAACACAAAAUCAUAGCAGUGCAGAGACGUACUCCCUCCGUUCCAAAAUAGAUGACCUAGGCGGGCUAGUUUGGCCUAGUGGGUUUCAGUGAUAUGACGUGGUACAGUGCCGUCUAGUCUUCGCAUGUGGUAGCAGUAUUGCGGGUACAGUAAGUUUUCUUGAAGAAGCGGAAUUCAACGAAGUCAUGAUGGUUCCUUCCUCCGAACAACUUACAGUGGGAAAGGUUUGGCCUGCGAUACGACCGGGGUAGACCAGGAUAAUUUUGUGCAUGGCAGGUGGACCAGGAUGGUCGACGUCCCACAUGUCGGCGAAUGAAAGUAUUCUUUCCGAUAUAGAGGACGAGCAACGAGUAUUCAUUGUUUAUUUUUGAUGAAAGCUAUUGUCUCCACUGUUACGACGGAGGAGUGUGAAACACGGCAGCCCAGUGAACUUGGCAUGUGCACCACUCCCUCCUUCCUCAUGUAAUGCCCAGGUUACAACUUUUUCUCACUUUCUCUCUAUCUAUUUCCUCUCAAAUGUUUUUUACCUUUCUUUUUUUAAGACACAAUUGUUUUUAUGCCUUUUUUAGAAUUAUUUUUUUAUACCUAGGAGCACGUGUAGAGACGGGCUCUUGCAGAGCCCACUCCUUGACUUUGUCAAUGCCUCUCUCUCCUCCACAUAAGGAGUACUACUUGCUAUGCAUGCAUGCGGCGGGCAGCUGGCGUCUUGAGGGGCCAGGGCGAUGAGAGCGGGCUCCGAAAGCGGUCCGGACUCCAGCAUGGCCCACCUCACAUUAUCACCAUAUAUUUCUUGGAGUCCGUGCGCGGCGGGCGGGCGAUCUCUUCUCCCUCCCCUGUUUCACUCUUCUCAGCCGACGCCCACCGAGCGAUUAGAUUUCGGCUAUCGUCGGUUUAUUCAAUUACGGUCCCACAUGUCAGUGAAAUUGCAAGACAACGCGUGUCCCCUCUGGUGAGUGGCGUGCGAGCCGGACUGUCGGGGUUGCGACGCGUACGAGUCGUAUGUGUGUCGCCUUUUCCUUUAGAACUUGCGAAGCGUAACAUUUUCGCGCGAUCGAUCGAUAGAAAUCCAGAACAAAAUGACGAGGGCGGUGCUUUCCCGCUCGUUAGGCGGGCUAGUUCGAGUGAUAUGACGUGCUACAGUGCCGUCCACUUGCUCCAUUUUUAUGUAAGCAAGAGUUUACACUCUUACGCGGGAGGAGUGCGAAACACCGCAGAUCUGAUUUUGAUCGAGGGAUAAUUGUUCCCUGCCAAAUAAUGGAGGAUUGUUAGCGAUUAUAGCAUGAUAGUUAGGGCAUCUCCAGCGCUGGCCCACAAAUUUACACCGGCAUCUGUCCGAGGACACUGAUGGAUGCCAUCCGAUGCUGCCCGCAUACCUUUCAACAACUAUAUGAACUAACCGGACGAAAUUCGCGCAAACAAAGCAAAUUUCAAAUUAACCGGAUGAAAUUCAUUACAUUUCGAAAACUUAUCCAACAAUCUGGACGAAAUUCAUUACAUAUUUCGCAAAAACCGUACUAAAACCUACUGUAAACCUAAUCUAAACGAUCGCCGCGCCCGACCACCAUGUCCGGCCAUGAACCCGAGAAAGCCGGCCAUUGCCUUUGCCUCCUCCUCAUCCGCCUCGAUAACCUCCUCCUCCGGAGCACAAGGUUCUGAAGAUUUCCGCCUCCACAUCGCCAUCAAGCGGCUAAUCGGCCGCCGAUGUUUACCCCACCAAGCUUGGCGUCGACUGAGUGGAGUAGCAGUGGCCUUCCCGGGACCAGAGCGGUGGUGACCUACCGUGUACUACUCUUCCUCGCUGCCGGCUGCGCCCGUGCACGCGCGCCGGCUUCGUCGUUGUGGCGGCGGAGGGCGGCCGGGGGGGUGUCGGCGAUCUCCUUCGUUUGCUCCUGUGACAGUACGUCGAAGAGAGCUUUGGAGCGCGCCCGGAGCGGAGCGGCCGAUGUCCCUCCUCUGCUCGUGUGACAGUACGUCCAAGAGAGCUUCGGAGCGCUAGGAGGCCAUGGUUGAAGUGGUGCCGACAAAAGGAAGGGACCGGAGGAGAAUAAGUGUGGGUCUUUGGCUAUGGCUGGGAGCUGGGGCUCAAGUUAAUAUAGCGGGCGAAUGGCAAUGAGCCGCGGCAGACGGAUGGACAACUGGCGCCAGAGUAGGUUCGUCGGGCGUGAAUGCGGAUCCUGCUUCAGUGACUUAACUACAGAUGCGUUUGGGUUACUGACAUGUGGGCCCAAUGGGCAUCUGGCCCGCAUGUUAGUGACACACCAAUUGCACCUGCAGUUAUGUCCGGUGAAUGCUGCAUUGACAUUCUGGAGAGACGGUGACCGUUUCAGGUGGGAAGCGUGCGCUAGCGAUGGAAGGGGUUUCGGUGUGCAGUGGCACUAAGAUCGGUCGCUCACGAUAGUACAUACUCCGUACCAUACUACCAUAGUACCCUCUCUAGCUUAGGCUGUUUUAUAGAUUGUCGUUCUGAUGGACGAUAUACAUGAGCAAGGCGGUCCGAGUAUGACCGUUGGUGUUGAGCCAGGUGAAUACAUGCUCGGCGUUCGCGUAGGCCUCCAUCAAACGUCUAAACAGUAAUGUCAGGCACCGCCGGGGCGCGCAGGUGAUGGGCUCGCCGUUUGCGUUGCGCCAUGAGCUGGACUUUGAUUUACAGGGCGACGUGCAUGCAUUAGCAUGCUUUGAUAGCGUGAGCGUGAGUGUCUGACGCAAAGUAUUUCAUUUUCAUUUGGCUGACGAGGGUGCGUUGCAGCGACGAGUCCGUGGUAUGAUUCCCCACAUAUGCAUAAUUUUGGUUUUUACAGUAUUUCUUUCUCCAUUGACAGGUAGGCCCGCGUAGAUAGAUAAAGAACACGAGCUGAUGAGGCGCAUGCGGACUGUUUGACUGGUCAACCAGACAAAUACGGAGCUAUACGCUGAGCCAGUGACAGUAUAAUCACCAUAUCUCGUAUACAAUGAUCAAAGUGAGCUAUCAAGACAAGUUCGAUGACCGCCAAUGCAUUUUACUCGGUAAUAAAUGACCAGGAUUGAAGGGGAAUCCAAAUUUGCUUCAUCUUCUGUCCUUGAGCUCUUGACAAACCAAUGCACUAUACGGUUGUCCGGCCACUCCACCCCAGAGCUCUCACCAAGCGUCGUUCAUGCCACCGCGCCGCACACUAACCGGUAAGGCAGCGAUGGCAUCCCGCCGCGCCAAGUUCCUCGCCGCCCACGACCGCACACAAAAUGGUAGGGAAGCGAUGGCAUCCCUCCGUGCCGAGUUCAUCGCCGCUCGCGACCUCACAACUAUGUGGGAGGAAUUUGAAGAUGCCAAGGCCGAAUGGGCGGUAGAGCAAAAGGCGGCCAAAGCCGCACCGAGGGAGCGGAAAAGUUAGAAAGCACUCAAGAAAAGAGAGGCCCGCCGCCGCAAGAAAGAAAAGGACGCACGCGCUGCUGCGAAGAGGUCGGUGGAGAUCCAAGCACGGUGGGGUGUCGCCGAUAAAUCCGGGAAUGAGAACGACGGCGUCUGGCCAGCACGUGAGAAGUAGUAGUACUAGUAGUUAGUGUGUGUGUCUGUGUCUGAGUACGAGCAUGUACCAAUACUACUAGUUACUACUGUAGUUUUUAGAGCAAAUUACCAGUACAUUAGCCUAGACUAAAUGGAAAAAUUCCUAUCCUAAGCAUCAAAUGGCAUCUCUUUCUCUAUAGGAAUUGAGAUGCAUGUCAUCUCACUUCCUAUGAUUUUCAUAUUCCUAUCCUAUGAACGAAAGGAGGCCUCUGUUGGAGUAACUACUGUAGCUAGCAGUACUCCUUGUACAGUAGUUUUCUUCAAGAAGCGGAAUUCAACGAAGUCAUGAUGGUUCCUUCGUCCGAGCAACUUCAAAGUGGGAAGUGGGCCUGUGAUUUGACAGCUCAUUAGUCAUUGUUACUGCGACGCGACGACCUGGGUGACUCUCCCUUGGAGUUCUGCGUGCAUGGCAAGUGGACCAGGAUGGUCGACGUCCCACAUGUUGGCGAACGGAAGUAUUCUUUCCGAUAUCGAGGAGCAAGGAAACCGCGUGGUAUAGUAUCACUGCUGAUUGGUUCGCAAAAAAAAAGUAUCACUGCCGAUUUAUAAUUAUUUUUUAUUUCUGAUGAAUGCUAGCGUUUCAACUCUUACGACGAAGGGUGCCAAACACGGCACGUGCUGGAUGUCCCACACGUCAGCGAAAGGAGUGGGACAUGAACAACGUGGUAGAGCCCAGCGUAAAAAAAUAGCGUGGUAGAGCGUCUCCACUUCUUCCAUUUCUAGGUCGGAGACCACACGUAGUAGUACUUAGUGGUAUGAACGAUACAAAGUGCGACCUGGAGAGAAAGACACGUCUAGUUGGAAGGUCUCGGGGCAUACACGUAAACAAAUAUAAAAGUUAAUAUGUGCCUCCAACUAAUACAGUAGUAGUAGAGUACUUAGGCACGUACUCCAUAACAUCACCGUGCAUUGCACGUACAACAUUUAGUGGUAGUACGUAGUAAGAGACGAAUGCCGUCCAAGAGUUCCCUUCUCGACCUACUUUUGGGUGUUUGGUAGAGUGUAUGGAGGGUGCAUGAGUCCACACUAGUUUAGCACAAAUACACUAGAAGCAUGCAUGAAGAGAGCAUGCAUGAAGAGGGGUGUUGAGUUGAGCAUGCAUGAAGAGGGAACAACUAUGCUGAGACGAGAACGCAACCAAACACACCCUAUAUGCCACACAUGUUCAUACCAUUUGUGCCUUUCUACUUCACUUACUGCGCUACAUUACUCAGGUUCGUACGUCCACUCCUGGGUACAUGUCCUUCUCGUAGUUCCAGUCCCACGUGUUCCUCAUAUAGAUGGAACGAUCCUUGCAUAACACGUGCACCUUGAUGCUAGAUGUCUCGCGUGUUGGCAAAAGGAUGAACAAAGCUCACGUAAAAAAAUAGAGUGGAAGAACAGAGAUUCCGGAUGACCGAGAAGGAGCAAGGAACCUCGUGGUGGAGCGUCUGCACUCAUAAUAUUUAAUAUUAUUCAGCGAUAUAAAAUUAACCAAUCAUCUCCACAGUGGACUGGAAGAGUACGAAACACGGCAGCCCAGUGUAGUUACAUCAUACUAGUACAUGGCUAACCCACGCUAUCACCAUAUUUCUUGGCUUCCGUGCGACACCUAUCUCUAUUAAUCCAGCAGCAUGUAUCGCUUCUCCCUCCUCGUCUCUAUCAAAGUGCGGCGGGCUGGCGUUUCUUCCGUCUAUUGAGGUCGGUUAACUAUCACAUGUUAGCGACAUGCCAAGAGCAUUCUAAAAAAAUUCCUUUCACGUUCUGUUUUCAAAAAGAAAAAAAAUCCUUUCACGUACGAAUUUGCCUGUAUGCUUUGAGCAACUUACAUGUCCUAUACUGCUCCUGUUUGAUACUCUAACUUAGCUAGAGGUUAGAUUAACUCAUGACUAACCCUGAACUAACUAUAACCAAAGAGGUGUUUGGGUGACAGGGUUAGAUUGACAAUAAAUGCACUUCAUGGAGAGAGAAAAGUGAUUUUUCAGUGGUCCCAAUGAGAACUAUCUCCAGUUAGCACCUCUUGGGUGGGAUAGUUUUUUUUGGUGGGUUCGGUGCAACUUGCUCCAAUUUAAACCCUCAUGCUUGGAUACUUUAGGGCUAUUUGAGCCCCAACUAGCUCAAACUAACUCUAACCCAUGGAUCCAAACAGGGCCUAUGGCCAGUCUCGACGCGGAGCAGUCGCGUGCACCGGGAAGCGGCGCUCUCUCGGCCGUCGCGCCACUUCAAAGCCGGCGCCAGUGAGAGGUCGCCUCCGCUCUGGCCGGGCAUUAAUGCGGCACUGACGCUCCAGGGCAACGCUGACCGUUUCACGCGGGAAGCGCGCGCUGGCAAGGGAGUAUAGGUUUUGAACCGUUUCAGGUGUAGUACUGGUUGUUUGCAAAACUACUCAAUUAUUGCACUCAGUUUCCUAAGAAAUUGUGGUAAAAAACGUUACUCCACAGCCCGCUUCCCUUCUCCUUCCUCUUCCACCGCCCGCGCAUGUCCGCGGGAAGCGACUGGUCAACCCUUAUAUAGGAGUGCUAGCACAAAAAGAUGCAUGCAUGACCACUAAAAUUUCCAUAUUAAAGCGCCGCUCCGGCGGGAGUAUGGCGUAUGUUGUUACCUUCGGCCGGCCCAUGGCUACCGGGCAACGGCGACCAGAGAAGAGGCGGCGGGAGGGGAAUGAAUGCAGCUACUGUUUGGGUGCGCCUUCCGGCUUAAAUAAAUGCGCAGCAUCAUGUGUACCCGCGGGUGCACAAAUUGUAACAUACGUGUCUGCUUAAGUGGGCGUCACGUAACUGGUGUGUGUGUGAGAGAGAUUCUGAGAGACAGAGUGCGUGUGUGCGACUCUACUCUUCGGACAUGUACUCAACCUUUUGCAUUGGGAUAUAAGUAUAAUGGUAUUUACUUUAGCUAGUGAUUUACGUGGCCAUGUUAACGUGGUUGUGUCAAACAAAUGUCACUUCCUGCUCGUGAUUUGCGUUAUAUAAUUACAAGCAAGAUUCUCGUGCAUUGCACGGAACAUCAAUAUGCAUUUUUUUACAGAACACCUGUUGUGAUUGACCCAUGCAGGAGUAAUCCCAUGUGUAAAAACUAAUGAUAUCUCGAGAAUUUUAUCGGAAAACUGGUAUCUCGAGAAUGUCAUCGAAAAAAUGAAAGAUGAGAGAUAAGGCGAGGAGGAGUGGAGCGUGGUGGUGACUGGUGGUCGGAAUGGGCGGAGGCAUGGGGAUGGACGGCGCUGGCAGGCGGCAGCGGCCACCAUGCAUGCUAGAUUGUUCCAGAGACUUAUUCCUUUUUUAAUUGCUGAGCAAUGAGGUUGCGGGAGAUAAUGAUGUGGAGAGAGGUGCGGUAUCUUUUGUAAAAUUAUCAUAGUUUGCUUUCUAUCCUCAGAUAUAGAUCAUACGGUAUGUAUUACAAGAUGGCAGGCACACCAUCACCGCCAACUUGUUUUUUUAUAAGGGUACAGAUGAUAAGUUUGCUGACUACUAAAUUAAAGUGGAAUUUGUCCAUGUUAUGCAAGUGAAUAAAGGUGAUUGUUUAUCAUACGGUAAGGUUGGAUGAAGGGUGGUAGGAACAAAUGCUCCGCCUAGAGCAUGUGUGUGUGAGAUGGAGUCUUAGUGUGUGUGGGGUGUGUGUGUGUGUGAGAGAGAGAGAUGGAGUCUUAGUUUGUGUGUGUGUGUGAGAGAGACAGAGAUGGAGUCUUAGUGUGUGUGUGGGGGGUGUGCGUGCGUGCGUGCGUGUGUGUCUUUUGUGUGUGUGCGANNNNNNNNNNNNNNNNNNNNNNNNNNNNNNNNNNNNNNNNNNNNNNNNNNNNNNNNNNNNNNNNNNNNNNNNNNNNNNNNNNNNNNNNNNNNNNNNNNNNNNNNNNNNNNNNNNNNNNNNNNNNNNNNNNNNNNNNNNNNNNNNNNNNNNNNNNNNNNNNNNNNNNNNNNNNNNNNNNNNNNNNNNNNNNNNNNNNNNNNNNNNNNNNNNNNNNNNNNNNNNNNNNNNNNNNNNNNNNNNNNNNNNNNNNNNNNNNNNNNNNNNNNNNNNNNNNNNNNNNNNNNNNNNNNNNNNNNNNNNNNNNNNNNNNNNNNNNNNNNNNNNNNNNNNNNNNNNNNNNNNNNNNNNNNNNNNNNNNNNNNNNNNNNNNNNNNNNNNNNNNNNNNNNNNNNNNNNNNNNNNNNNNNNNNNNNNNNNNNNNNNNNNNNNNNNNNNNNNNNNNNNNNNNNNNNNNNNNNNNNNNNNNNNNNNNNNNNNNNNNNNNNNNNNNNNNNNNNNNNNNNNNNNNNNNNNNNNNNNNNNNNNNNNNNNNNNNNNNNNNNNNNNNNNNNNNNNNNNNNNNNNNNNNNNNNNNNNNNNNNNNNNNNNNNNNNNNNNNNNNNNNNNNNNNNNNNNNNNNNNNNNNNNNNNNNNNNNNNNNNNNNNNNNNNNNNNNNNNNNNNNNNNNNNNNNNNNNNNNNNNNNNNNNNNNNNNNNNNNNNNNNNNNNNNNNNNNNNNNNNNNNNNNNNNNNNNNNNNNNNNNNNNNNNNNNNNNNNNNNNNNNNNNNNNNNNNNNNNNNNNNNNNNNNNNNNNNNNNNNNNNNNNNNNNNNNNNNNNNNNNNNNNNNNNNNNNNNNNNNNNNNNNNNNNNNNNNNNNNNNNNNNNNNNNNNNNNNNNNNGGGUAGCUAGAAGGAGAUUGUUAAGUGUGAGUGUGUGUUUUACCCAUCCAGGCGGAAGUUAUGUGCACAAAAGAGGAGAACGAUUCGAUGUGGCGUUAGGAUUGAGGGUAAUUAAACGUAUGGAGACAUAGAGACCUUGAACGUGCAUGUGUGAGAGGUAUACAUGUAUACGUGGGAUGUGUGUGUGUGCGCGCGCGCAUGAUCGAGAUAAAAGAAAGAAGACAUAAGUCAAAAGAUCAACGACAUGGGAGAGACGGAUCGGUAUGACAAUAUGCAUGCAUGUGAGAAUGCAGGGAAGAAGGCCCGACAAUUGAGCAUGUGUUUUUGUCUUUAAGAGAUAGUGGCGUGGGCUGGGGCAUGCAUCUAUGGCGAGUAGAGGGAGUGAGGCGCAAUGAUUGUGCAAAAGAGACCAACCUAUAAAUGCAUAUGUAUGGAUAGACAUAUAUAGUGUGGGUGAUAGGAAGCAAGACUCCGUGCGAGAAAGAAAUGUUGACGGAGAAACUACAGAUAGAUACAGAGAUGGAGAUGCUAGCUAGAGGGACAUCCGCUAGUUUGGGUGUUGGAGAUGACCGUCGGGUGGUUCAAAGGGUGAAGUUAUAUAUGUGUGUGAGAGGGCACUUGACUGCAUGUAGAUAGAAAUGUAUGUAGUGUGCGUGAUAGGAAUCAAGAGUGAGGGCGAGAAAGAAGGUUGAUGGAGAAAGAGAUAAAUAGAAAGAUAAAGAUGCUAGCUAGUGUGCGUUAGAGAUAGGAGUCGAGUGGAUCAGAAGGCUGGGUUAUGUGUGUGGGUGUGAGAGAGAUAGAGAGAGGGUGCAUGUGAGUCACAUACAAACAUAUAUCAGAGAGAAAUGAGAUCCAGAGAGACGGAGUUUUGUGUCUGCGAGAGAGAAAGAUAUUUCACAACGAGAGUGAUAGCUAGAGAGACAUAUGAGGGAACGCAAGAUAUCUCUAGGGAGAGAGGGUGUGUGUGAGCGACAUACAAGAGAACAAUGGAGAAAUAUGAGACCCUGGAAGACAGAGUUUGUGUUUGUGUAUGAGAAAGAGAUAUUGAAGAGGAAGAGCUGUAGGUUCUCAUAUCUAAGGAGCGAAAGACAUCUCUGUAUGAGGGGUGUGCGAGUGGCACACAUGGGAAUAGUAGAGAUAAAUGAGACCCCGGGAGACAAAGUUUUGUGUUUGUGUGAGAGAAAUAGAUUCCACAUGGAGAAUCAUAGUUAGAGACACAUAGCAGGGAGCGAGAUAUACUUAGAGAGAGAGAGAUAGAGUGAUGAAGUUCGAGGGAGAGAGUACCGUCAGUGUGUUACAAAGAUAAAAGAUCAUUGUCGACAUACAGGUAGCAUGAGAGAUACCCGAGAGACGAUGAACGUGUAUAGGUCCAGAGAGAUAGUCCUAUAUAAGCAUGAGUGAUAGCUAUAUGAGACGAAUAUCUGGAUUAAAGGGGAUUCAAAUAUUUAAACUGGAGAUCACGACAUCGAUAAUAUCAUAACGCAAAUUGGUGUAUCAAACAUGCAUAUUCAUUUGAAUUUGGGCACACGUGUAAUGUUAUAUAGUUUAUCAAUAUUGGUGAUCCAUAGAUUCUUCAAUUACAAACAAUGCAUGGUUUAUAUGCAAUUAAUGUCUAAACGGGAUUACACUAUAUGUUGCGUGUGUGAAACACAUUAUACAUGUUUGAGAAGUAAAAAAAAACCCGCAUGAAACACACAUUAAUUGGAGACAGUUAGCGAGGAAUGCAUACAUUGGAUUUCAACAUAAAGUGGUUUCAAAUAUUUGAAAAUCCAAAUUGAUGGAUACAACCUUAUGAAUCUGAGAUCAUGCCAUUUGUAAACCAUAUUUAUGUAUAAAUGGUGUUGUGCUUUUGAAAGUAUAUAAAAAAAUGAUGUAUAUAGAAUGUAAUUCCAAUUGAAAAUGGAUCCCGCCCGAAAAAAAUUAGAAUACAAACGGGAUUCGAAUUGAGUUGACACGGUAAACGUGCACUCUGCAAAAUUUGAACGAAUCGGGGAAAGUCGCAGUAACCGCCCGAAACCAAAAUCUGCGAGAUGGAAAUCACUACUGCCUAUCCUUGCCACGCAAAGCCUAUCUGCUGGAUUUCUAUAGGUUUCGAUAGGGGUAGGUUUGUAAUUUCACCCAAACGUGACGUAACCGCCUCUCACCCGGAUUCAUACACGAUGGGCGCCAAAACACAGUGUGUCCUCGGCCGAAAUCGACUCCCUCCCUGAUUCAUAUUCAUACACGGUGGGCGCCAAAAACAAACUCUCGUCGGCAAAUAUUCGGUGUAUGCGAGAUUACCAUCCUAUCCCCAACCGACUAAUGUUGCUGUGAUGUAGUAGAAAUUUGAAACGGGGGCUAAGUUUGCAAAUUUCCUCGCAUUUGAGACAAGCGCGCCCUGAAUACAUGGUUCCCCCCUUCCUCUCUACCUCCCUUUUCCCCAUUCGUACUCCGUGGGCGCCAAAACACCCUCUCCACCCCACCCUCCUCCGUCCGCCGCCGUCCGCCAACCCAUCCACCGCCGUCCUCCUCCACCAUGCCGGAGCUGAUACCCUGACGCCGCCGUCCAUUACAAGAGAUCGACCUCUCUCAUCCACGGCUUCGGACCGGGAUCCUUGCAUCCCGUCCUCUCGCUUCAUCCCCGCCGUCGUCCACCUUGCCAGCGCCGCUCCUACGACCGUCUCGUCCACCGCGCCCUGCCGCCACUGUCUACCCUCCUAGAUCUGCUUCCACGCCGCCGACAGCCAUCGCUACCGCAGCACCGUCAAAUUCUCAGCAGAUGCGUACACGGCGCCGCACUAGAGGCGGUACUCUUUCGUAUCUGCUCAACUUAUUUAUCGCAGCAAGAAAAUAGAUCGCCACUGCUUUACUCUGAUUUCUUGUCUUGGUUGCGAAGUUGCCUUUGUCCGGUUUGCACCUUCAGAUCCACCAUGGCACGCUCAACACUAUACUCCCAAUGCUUAUGGUUUUCCCCUUUUAUAUUCCACACUAGUUAAAUCACAGUAGACUAAAUUUCAAAAUUGGGUCAGUCGAUUUUUCAGAGCUCGCCGGAGUUCGCCGGUGCGAUCGAAGGGGCUCGGGUGGUUGUGGGGCCUCGCCGAACGAAGAAAACUCGACGCGGGUGGGGGUUGGGNNNNNNNNNNCCGCCACCGUCUACCCUCCUAGAUCUGCUUCCACACCGCCGACAGCCAUCGCUACCGCAGCACCGUCAAAUUCUCAGCAGAUGCGUACACGGCGCCGCACCAGAGGCGGUACUCUUUCGUAUCUGCUCAACUUAUUUAUCGCAGCAAGAAAAUAGAUCGCCACUGCUUUACUCUGAUUUCUUGUCUUGGUUGCGAAGUUGCCUUUGUCCGGUUUGCACCUUCAGAUCUGCCAUGGCACGCUCAACACUAUACUCCCAAUGCUUAUGGUUUUCCCCUUUUAUAUUCCACACUAGUUAAAUCACAGUAGACUAAAUUUCAAAAUUGGGUCAGUCGAUUUUUCAGAGCUCGCCGGAGUUCGCCGGUGCGAUCGAAGGGGCUCGGGUGGUUGUGGGGCCUCGCCGAACGAAGAAAACUCGACGCGGGUGGGGGUUGGGGCGGGGGUGGGGGUGGCGGAGGAACACAGGCGGUGGGGGCCGGUGGUCCGGCCGGCGGCCCGUGCGGUGUUUUGUAUGGGAAGAAUCAGAGACGAGGAAGAAGAAGGGUUAGGAGACGUAGGAUCUUCAUCCAACCACCUGAAAUGGUCGAGAGACAGCUGGGAGUUGCAUUCUUAAUGUGCUCUGGUUCAUCAUGUGUGGGCACUGCGCAACGAACAUUUUAUUAUCCAAAAUCUGCUUGCUCUUCUGUACCAUGUUCCUCUUCCGUUCUUCUUUAAUAUGUACUCUCUCCGUUCCUAAAUACAAGUCUUGGUAUAGAUUCCACCAUGGACUACAUAUGGAGCAAAAUGAGUGAAUCUACACUCUAAAAUGUAUCUGGAUACAUCUGUAUGUGAUCCAUAGUGGAAAUCUGUACCAAGACAUAUUUUGGAACGGAGGGAGUAUGAUAGUAGUACAGUAUGUUCCUUGUACUGAAGAUGAGCAGGGACAUUUGCAGUGUAGAGGUCUAUACGGUCGGUUGUGAUGGACACUUUGAGCCUCUUUGAUUCGUAGGAUCUUGUAAACAUAGGAAUAGGAUUUGUAGUGGCCUACCCACUUGAAUCCUAUAAGAAUAGUAAGGACAUGCGGGGAGCUGUGUCGCCUUUGAGAGUUACACUGAUAUUAACAGUACCGCACCUUCACUUGAAGAGAGCUGGUAUCCGAAGCCUUUCUAGCCAUACCGGCAAUACUAACACAUAUAUUCCAGCAAGUUCCACUUUGCUGAUUUUACUCUGAUGCUUAAGGUUUUCCCGUUAUAUCUACACUAUGAUCUUUGUAGCUGCUUUGUGUCACACUAGCAGCAGUCCACUCUUGAAGCUAAACACUGCAAUGACUUACAAAAUUGGCACCAAGGCAUUGAGUGCCAUUCUGGAUGCAAUGAAACUCAUACGCUCCCCACCUGUUGAUUCUUGUUCAGAAUAUGAUCCUAAUGACUAUUCUAACCUCGAGGGGUCGAAGGCAGAUGGCCUGUCCUGUUCACCCAUCACGGUGCCUGUUCUAAUUUGGCAAUUUUUUAUUGAUUGCGGGUAUCUUGCAUAUGUUGUCUUGCAUUUCUUCUACUUUGUUGCACCGCCCUCUGCUUAGUUUACUCAUCAUAUAUGUCGAGAUGCCAUGCCCAUGCAUUAUCAAUACAUAUUCCAUCUGUCAUCAUACCAUGUUUUUUCACUCAAAUGCUGUUCUUGUGCAUCAGACAUCAAAAAGGAAGAGGGUGAUUGCCAAACCUGAAGGAGCACCAGCAAAGUCCCUGAAAAACGUGGUGGUGCCGGAGAAAUCAGACAGCACCCCACUUAUAUUGGCUGUACAACCAGUGACACAAAACGUAGCACCGACUCCAGCAGACUGUACCCAUACUUCACUGGCCACACCACUAGCCCCAACACACAGGACCUGCACUCCAGCAAAAGGUAUACCGAUUUCAUUUGCCAUAGCACCAGCUGUACCACAGAAAAAUCCCACUCCAACAAAAAGUACAGCAAGUCCACCGGCCGAAGACCUAUCCCAACUGCAGAGACGGCCAAUUCCUGCAGAUUGGAACCCCAUUCCAUUUAUUCCCAGUUUAAAAGACAAUGCUUUCAAUGUUGUUAGGGACUACGUGCAUAUAUUCCCAUCAUGGGAAGAUUAUUGUGAAGACAAACACCAUUUUCACAUCUUCCUGUCCAACUUACGUGUAAGUGCUAUUAUUCAUGGUUAUUAUUUUCCUGUUUUCUGCUGAUUGAACACAUCAAUGAUUUACAUUACAUUGUUGUAACUAGGCGAGGGUCAAUCUGGAUAGUCAUGACGAGAAAAGCUUGCUUGUGCUUUUCAAGGAAGCAUUGCAGCAGUAUCGGUGUUACCUGAGGAAAUCACACUUUGAUGGCAAGUCUAUAAACGAAUUUCUGGUGAAGUCUCCUGUGCUAAAUUUAGAAGACAUUGAAUGGAAAAACCUUGUUAUGCACUGGUCUCAUUCCCAGGAUGAGGUACUGUCUAUGAAAUCACAUGACAAUUUGAACUUCUACUUUUCCGCAUGUGCCUUACGGAUCUUUUUUGCAGGAAAUCUGCUCGAAGAAGAAUUCCGGUUUGACAAGAACGACAGGAUAUCGCAAAUAUGCUGCCCGCUGCUUUGCUCUUGUUAGUACCUGUUGUCCUGUAUCACUGUACUUGCAUACAUACCUGGUUCAUUAUGUGACAGCAGUAUGCAUGAUAGCUUGCGUAUCAAUUGUUCGCUCCAAAUUAUCUGAUCUGUAUGAAUGGUUACAUUAGUGUAGAAUAUAUCCAAUGCCAAUGUUUUUUUAGCUCUGCAUUGUUCUUGUAAGUACAUGUCCUUUAUCAGUGUACUUAUAAUGACAGGUAGUUGUUCAUGUACCAUCACUCUGCAGCUUAUUUUCCUUUGCCCUCCAUUUUCUACACAUCAGAUCUAUAUUUACUCUUACCAUAAAGUUGGUACUGAAGAAGUUUAGCUGUGCAUUGCUCUUGGCUGUACCUUUUGCCUGUAUCGCUGCACUUACAUUUAUAGCUACUUGGUUAUGUAGCAUCACUCUACAUCUUAUCUUAAAUAUUCUCCAUAUUUUCGUAUAUUAUCACAUCUAUAUUUACUCUUAACAAAAUGUAGAAUAAAGGCAAUGCUUUUGAAGAACAUUAUGUGGUAAACUUCUUGAAUCGCCCCCCCCCCCAUCAGCAUGGACAAGGCCUUCAUAGAGCCUGUCUUCACCAAUAAUGUAAGUUUGUCCAUCUCAAGCCUUCAAACUUUGUUGUAUAUAUUUGGUUAGGCAUGACUGCAACAGCUGUUUAUUUUUGGUGUUUGCAUCAAAUUGCUUGUUUAAAGUUUAUUAUGUAGUUCAUAAACAAAAGUUUGUUCUUUCUCAAUUUAAGUUUUCAGUUGUACAACCAAGUUCCUUCUUCAUACCAUGUAAAUUAAACUAUACAGAGCAAGUGAUCUUCUUUUGCACUGCAUGUAUGCUUCUGUUCUUCAUCCGUAAUCCAGUGGUGUGGUGAACCUACCCACUACAGCACAAUGUCAUAUUCUGCAAUGUCUUAACUAUGAACAGUGUCAUAUCAUUCUACUAUUAUUUAAACCGUCUCUUUAUUUGCCAAUCUGAAAUGGUAUAAAUUGACAGCACACUAACCAUUGAUACUUAUGAGUUCUUGAUCUAUAAUCCAGUGGUGUCGUGAAGCUGCCAACUCCUUCACAAUGUCAUUUCCUGCCAUGUCUUGACCUGAACAAUACCAUAUUGUGUUAAUGCAAUUUUAAACUGUGACACUUUAUUCGUCAAUAAGAAAUGUGAUGAAUUGUCAGCACUGAUACGUUUAUGUGCAAAACCUGUCAUCUGUCUGCUUGUUUAUCUUUCAGAGUGAGGAAGAUAUAAGUGUUGAACAAGCGCAGUCUCAUCAUCUUGCUCAGCUGCUUGCGCUGCAGCUCCCCAGCAGGGCUAACCAUUCUUGAACUCUGUUGAAGUGCUGUCGGUUUUGUAUAUUAUUUUAUCAGCAUGUUUAUUUGCACUGGUGGCGAUCUUUGAUGCCCAGUGUAUGUAAUCUGUUGUCUGCUUGUGCUUUAUUAUCAUAGUGGCGAACUUUGAUGCCUAGUGGAUGUAAUAUGCCGUAAUUUCUUUAUUGUAUAGUCUAGGUUUUUUCUUAUUCACGAUGCUGCAGUUAUUUUACUGUAUAUAUAUCCUGUCUUCGCAGUAAACCGGCCAAACCGUAAAAUUACGGUACAUAAUCGGGCCGUCAUGCAAUCACGAUGUCGGUUGGGCCUGAAACGUGCCGAAUAGCUCACGGGCCGGCAGCAGCCCGAAAUGAACCCCAACCCAUGAUUGUGCGAAUCAAAUCACGGGCUUUUAGCAGGCCAAAAUUGUCUCGGUCCUUGUUUGGCCCAAUUAGAUAUCGGCUGCAAGCAGGCCGGAUGCAAACCGGGCCGUAGUUAGGCCCAACUAUAUGAAGGGCUUUUAACAGGCCGAAAUUAAUAUAGGGCCGAAAUGUUAAACGGGCCUUUAACAGGCCAAAACUAAUAUCAGAACGAAUUACUAAGUGGGCCUUUAGCAAGUGGGCCCAAAAGCAUAGUGUCUAGUUAACGGGGCGAAUCUGAUAUGGGCCAUAAUUGAGCCCAAAGCCUCUUAAAGGGCCGGACCUGAUCUGGGCCGUAAUUUGACCCAGAACGUGGUAGGCUUUUAACGGGCCGUAUCUCAUAUGGGCCACUAUUAGGCCCGGAGCGUGGUAGGCCAUUAAUGGACCGGAUUAAAUAUGGGCCGGCAUUUGGCCCAAAACAUGGCAGCCAGUUAAUGGGCCGGCCUACUAGGGUCCUCAAAAUCUUGUGGGCCUACAGCUGGGCCGGCCCAUUAAUGUCGGCGAAAUCUCGUGGGCCUUUAGCUGGGCCGGCCCAUUAUGAUCCGCAAGAAUCUUGUGGGCCUUUACCUGGGUCGGCCCAUUAUGGCACACAAAAAUCUUGUGGGCCUUUACCUGGGCCGGCCCAUUAUGGCCCGCAAAAUCUUGUGGGCCUUUAGCUGGGUCAGCCCAUUAUGGUCCGCAAAAUCUCGUGGGCCUUUAGCUGGGCCGGCCCAUUAUGGUCCGCAAAAUCUUGUGGGCCUUCAGUUGGGCCGGCCCAUUUAAACUUGAUGGGCCGGUCCACGUGUCAACAUAUCAUAGGUGCGUCUCGCCCAUUGGAUGAGUGACACCUAUGCCAACGCGGACCUGACACGUGUCUCCUCCAGCCAAUGAUGAUUUUACACGUGCAAAAUCCCCAUUGGUUGGGGCUGUUAACGGGUUAUCGGAUCCAAAACCUGACCCGAUAGCUUAACGGCGUUCUGUUACGGUGGAUGCCACGUGUCGGUCACCCUUGACGAAAGCACUUCUGUGACGCGCGAUUUAUCGUCAUGGAAGUAGACACUUCCGUGAUGAUAAUUUUGGUAAUGUCAUGGAACACUUCUACGACAGCAUAGGUAUGACUAUCUUGAUUCUGUCAUAAAUUUGUCAUGGAUGUACAUGCAUGACAAAAAACACGACCUACUGUGACAAACACGUAUCAUCACGGAAGUGUAUUUUUUUGUAGUGAGGGGAGGAAUAAAUCAGUAAGAAGAGAAGGGACCUGAAGUCGAGCUGCAACCAGGCGAACGCUCGGCUGCUCGUGCUUCUCCUGUUGUUGAGCACAUGUACAUGUACGCCUAGAAAGCUAGAGUUUACAUGACACACAACAAGCAAUUAUAUAGCAAAAGUUCACUUCUCAACCUGGGCAAACAACAUAAAGAAGUCAUAUUAGCACCUAAGGCCUUGUACAAUGGGAGGUGCUUAGGAGAGGUGCUUAGAGAAAUAAAUCAGGAUUUCCUUAAGCACCGGUGCUUAUUUGUACAGGGUAACCGCUUAACUAAGCGUCUCUCCUAUAGAAACAGGCACCGGUGCUUCAGAAAAACCCGGUUUAUUUUUCUAAGCAUCUACCAUUGUACAAUGCCUAACAAAUACACAUGUACAUGUACGCCUAGAAAGCUUAGAAUUUACAGGACAACCAACAGGCAAAUAUACUUCACUUCUGAAUUUGGGAAAACAACAUAAAUAAGUCAUAUUAUUACCUUUGGGAUUAGGGAAGCCGAGAGAAACUGGAAACAUGUGGGGGCACAAUAUCUAUUUAUGCUCAGAAAACAAAUUACCAAAUAUCCAGCCACAAGGGCGUGCUUGAGAGGACGAAGGAGAGAGCGUGCCUGACAGCAAGAGAGGAUGUAGGAGAGGACGUGGGGACUGAUCUCUCGAGUGGAUGGACGGCAGCACGAAAGCCAGACGGAGCCAGCCGUCUCUGCGACCCA